Molecule: ribosomal RNA, 664 nt
Filed under: uncultured archaeon
Lineage: Archaea
Description: bacterial SSU rRNA
Rfam family: Archaeal small subunit ribosomal RNA
Source: RNAcentral
CCGACGGUGAGGGAUGAAAGCUGGGGGAGCAAACCGGAUUAGAUACCCGGGUAGUCCCAGCUGUAAACUAUGCAAACUCAGUGAUGCAUUGGCUUGUGGCCAAUGCAGUGCUGCAGGGAAGCCGUUAAGUUUGCCGCCUGGGAAGUACGUACGCAAGUAUGAAACUUAAAGGAAUUGGCGGGGGAGCACCACAAGGGGUGAAGCCUGCGGUUCAAUUGGAGUCAACGCCAGAAAUCUUACCCGGAGAGACAGCAGAAUGAAGGUCAAGCUGAAGACUUUACCAGACAAGCUGAGAGGUGGUGCAUGGCCGUCGCCAGCUCGUGCCGUGAGAUGUCCUGUUAAGUCAGGUAACGAGCGAGAUCCCUGCCUCUAGUUGCCACCAUUACUCUCAGGAGUAGUGGGGCGAAUUAGCGGGACCGCCGCAGUUAAUGCGGAGGAAGGAAGGGGCCACGGCAGGUCAGUAUGCCCCGAAACUCUGGGGCCACACGCGGGCUGCAAUGGUAACGACAAUUGGUUUCGAAUCCGAAAGGAUGAGGUAAUCCUCAAACGUUACCACAGUUAUGACUGAGGGCUGCAACUCGCCCUCACGAAUAUGGAAUCCCUAGUAACUGCGUGUCAUUAUCGCGCGGUGAAUACGUCCCUGCUCCUUGCACACACCGCCCGU